Molecule: ribosomal RNA, 253 nt
Filed under: uncultured bacterium
Lineage: Bacteria
Description: partial 16S ribosomal RNA
Rfam family: Bacterial small subunit ribosomal RNA
Source: RNAcentral
UACGGGGGGGGCAAGCGUUGUUCGGAAUUACUGGGCGUAAAGGGCUCGUAGGCGGCCAACUAAGUCAUACGUGAAAUCCCUCGGCUUAACCGGGGAACUGCGUCUGAUACUGGAUGGCUUGAGUUCGGGAGAGGGAUGCGGAAUUCCAGGUGUAGCGGUGAAAUGCGUAGAUAUCUGGAGGAACACCCGUGGCGAAGGCGGCUCUCUGGGACGGUACUGACGCUGAGACGCGAAAGCGUGGGGAGCGAACAGG